AAAAUAAAUUUUUUUAUUCGAAUUUCUUAAUAUCAAAACUUUCAACAACGGAUCUCUUGGUUCUCGCAUCGAUGAAGAACGCAGCGAAUUGCGAUACGUAGUAUGACUUGCAGACGUGAAUCAUCGAAUCUUUGAACGCACAUUGCGCCUCGAGGCAUUCCUCGAGGCAUGCCUGUUUGAGCGUCGCAUCCCCUCUAACCCCCGGUUAGGCGUUGCUCCGAAAUAUCAACCGCGCUGUCAAACACGUUUACAGCACGACAUUUCGCCCUCAAAUCAGGUAGGACUACCCGCUGAACUUAAGCAUAUCAAUAAGCGGAGGAAAUCUUCUU
RNAcentral lists this ribosomal RNA (329 nucleotides) under Clavispora lusitaniae. RNAcentral's name for it is "eukaryotic LSU rRNA". The stretch from base 37 to 186 matches the Rfam family "5.8S ribosomal RNA". The record is from RNAcentral. Lineage: Eukaryota; Fungi; Ascomycota; Pichiomycetes; Serinales; Metschnikowiaceae.